This 721-nucleotide long non-coding RNA is filed under the name Camelus dromedarius (Arabian camel). RNAcentral's name for it is "lncRNA (ENSCDRG00005020147.1)". Lineage: Eukaryota; Metazoa; Chordata; Mammalia; Artiodactyla; Camelidae. The record is from RNAcentral.
CUAUGAUGUACACAAUCUUCACGUGGUGUCUCGUCUAGUCCAGACUCAAGAGAUAUUGAUUCCACUGUUCUUAGAACAUUAAGUGGCAAGAGUCAUCUAAUGAGCAUUUAGAGAGACAAGAGGCAGGCUGCCCACCCAGAAGCACCAUCUCACCCAUCAGGAAUAGCCCCCAAGUUAAGGAUCCCAGAGAUUCCACGCAAGCAGCGACAUGGAAAAGAAGCUGAUGCUACAGAGGGAUAUGAAUGCAGGAAGAGAUGGAAGAUGCCCACGACUGAGAAAGUCUCCGAAUUUAUCUUUGAAGCAAAGUUUUCUGCUCUGAUAAAGGUUCUCCAUUAGAUAAAAAACUGUGGAAUUCCACAAGGCUUGCAUUUCAGCUUAGGAAGCCAAGAGAGGGCCCAUCCUUCAGGGGUGAGCUUUCCCGAGAGCCCUGUGGCUGAUCAACAGCUGACUCCUGGAGUCCUGCCCCGCCGGCUGACAGUAAGUGCCCAGACACAGAGCAGACCUGUCCCCUGCAUCAGCCAGCCUUGCCCUCCUCCUUUCCCAGACAGAAAGGGACUCCAAGGUAGUCAGUGCAGACCCAGUGUGACCCAGGGACGGCUUCUGGCAUGCGCUUCUCUUUUCCCUCCAUCUGUUUGUUGAGUUCUUAUAGCCUGGAGAACUGGAAAAUAUCCCUGAAGAAAUAGACCUAUCCUCUUUCUUGCCAGGAGACACUAUAAUUUAA